CGACCGGCAACGGUGCGGAACACGUACGCAACUUACCCAUAACUGGGGGAUAGCCCGGGGAAACCCGGAUUAAUACCCCGUAAGAUAAAGUGGUGGCAUCACUAUUUUAUUAUAGCUCCGGCGGUUAUGGAUGGGCGUGCGCCUGAUUAGGUAGUUGGUUGGGGUAAUGGCCCACCAAGCCUGCGAUCAGUAACUGGUGUGAGAGCACGACCAGUCACACGGGCACUGAGACACGGGCCCG
This 241-nucleotide ribosomal RNA is filed under the name uncultured bacterium. Its description in RNAcentral is "partial 16S ribosomal RNA". It matches the Rfam family "Bacterial small subunit ribosomal RNA", at positions 105 to 334 of the family's 1533-position model. The record is from RNAcentral.